This 253-nucleotide ribosomal RNA is filed under the name uncultured bacterium. RNAcentral describes it as "partial 16S ribosomal RNA". It matches the Rfam family "Bacterial small subunit ribosomal RNA", at positions 524 to 776 of the family's 1533-position model. The record is from RNAcentral.
UACGAAGGGGGCUAGCGUUGUUCGGAAUCACUUGGCGUAAAGCGUACGUAGGCGGAUUGUUAAGUCAGGGGUGAGAGCCCGAGGCUCAACCUCGGAAUUGCCUUUGAUACUGGCUGUCUUGAGUCCGGGAGAGGUGAGUGGAACUCCUAGUGUAGAGGUGAAAUUCGUAGAUAUUAGGAAGAACACCAGUGGCGAAGGCGGCUCACUGGCCCGGAACUGACGCUGAUGUACGAAAGCGUGGGGAGCAAACAGG